GCCUUGUACACACCGCCCGUCACACCAUGGGAGUCGGUAACACCCGAAGUCUGUAGCCUGACGCAAGAGGGCGCAGCCGAAGGUGGGAUUGAUGGACUGGGGUGAAGUCGUAACAAGGUAGC
RNAcentral lists this ribosomal RNA (122 nucleotides) under uncultured bacterium. RNAcentral's name for it is "partial 16S ribosomal RNA". It matches the Rfam family "Bacterial small subunit ribosomal RNA", at positions 1378 to 1500 of the family's 1533-position model. The record is from RNAcentral.